CCUACGGGAGGCAGCAGUGAGGAAUAUUGGUCAAUGGCCGAGAGUCUGAACCAGCCAAGUAGCGUGAAGGAUGACUGCCCUAUGGGUUGUAAACCUCUUUUGUCGGGGAACAAAGGCGUCCACGGGUGGGCGGAUGAGUGUACCCGAAGAAAAAGCAUCGGCUAACUCCGUGCCAGCAGCCGCGGUAAUACGGAGGAUGCGAGCGUUGUCCGGAUUUAUUGGGUUGAAAGGGUGCGUAGGCGGACAGUAAAGUCAGCGGUAAAAAUGCGGUGCUCAACGCCGUACAGCCGUUGAAACUGGGAGUCUUGAGUGGGCGAGAAGUAUGCGGAAUGCGUGGUGUAGCGGUGAAAUGCAUAGAUAUCACGCAGAACUCCGAUUGCGAAGGCAGCAUACCGGCGCCCUACUGACGCUGAGGCACGAAAGCGUGGGUAUCGAACAGGAUUAGAUACCCUAGUAGUC
Molecule: ribosomal RNA, 459 nt
Filed under: uncultured bacterium
Lineage: Bacteria
Description: partial 16S ribosomal RNA
Rfam family: Bacterial small subunit ribosomal RNA
Source: RNAcentral